UGCCUCUCGGGAUCCCACCUGGAGAGUUUCCGGUACUUUACCGGUCUCGGAUACAGGAGGGAGAGUCAAGCAGAGGCCUACCCAUUCCAUUCCUAGCUCGGGCAGUGGCUAGCGAGAGGAAGGCAAUCUGCUACAAGU
This is a small nucleolar RNA of Ornithorhynchus anatinus (platypus), 138 nucleotides long. The record is from RefSeq and is a predicted model, not a curated record. Lineage: Eukaryota; Metazoa; Chordata; Mammalia; Monotremata; Ornithorhynchidae.